GUGACCCCAUAGGUUCAUUUCUAUUUGGUAGCGAGAUAUACCAUGAUCUCUAUCAUAGUAUUAUUGAAAAUUUUUUUAAUGGGUCAGAAUGAUUCCACUCUAACUCAUCAAAGAUUAUCAAUCCUAGUGAGCUCUCACAAUCUACCAGUGACACUGACAGUAUGUAGUGGUAAUCUAGUAGAACCGAAAAAGAAUCUCAAGGUAUAGUUCUCAUGUGAUUCAGUCCCUCUAAUAUGAGUCUUGACUAGAUGGC
Molecule: long non-coding RNA, 253 nt
Filed under: Elaeis guineensis (African oil palm)
Lineage: Eukaryota; Viridiplantae; Streptophyta; Magnoliopsida; Arecales; Arecaceae
Description: long non-coding RNA (EGUI_LNC061976)
Source: RNAcentral